AAGCCUUGGAGCCAGAUUCUAAGAAAGCAAAAUGACAGCAACAACUGGGGACAAUCUGGACUCAGCCUGGGUGCCCAUGCUAGGCAGUGAUGUAGAACCAGAGAAGCCUCAUUUUAAAAUCUGUUUCACAGCCAGAAAUUGCCUGUUCAGUCUGUCUUCCCUGAUAGAACAUAAGCCUCUUGAAAGCAAGGACUGCAUUUCUCACUUUUAAAUCAUCGGCAUCUAGCACCAUGACUGCAGUAUAGUAAGAGCUUGGUAAAUAAUUGUUAACUCUUUAGGGUAAUAGAAAAGAAAAGUUCUCAGCUUCACAGCAAAAAUCCCUCUCAUUAAUCAAUGGAACUACCUAAUAUUAAUUCAUUAAUUCAUGUUCACUCAAUAAAUAUUUUGAACAGCUUA
This is a long non-coding RNA of Homo sapiens (human), 396 nucleotides long. RefSeq lists it as uncharacterized. NCBI's taxonomy places the organism in Eukaryota, Metazoa, Chordata, Mammalia, Primates, Hominidae. The transcript is spliced from 2 exons. The record is from RefSeq and is a predicted model, not a curated record.